AUAGUACUUUAUUUAGUUAAAAGAAUACAACCUAAUACAUGGCAUCUCCUCCGUCGUCUUUGAAUCACUAUUAUGUAUCAUGCACAAUUUUUUUCUUUGGUUCUUUCUAAUGCCUUUAUCCCUCCACUCCUACAGCGCUUUCCCCUAGUCCUUCACAUUUUUUUUUUUUCUGCUAUUCUUUAGCAAAAUAUUGGCUGUCGCUUUUUCAUUUUAUAUAUUUGGAUAUUGAGAAUUUAGUAAUGCUUUUAUAAAAAGAUGGACGUUGAACUGUCAUUUCUGCUGCUUCUUUUUCACUUAUUGUUUUACGUCCCACUGGCUUAGGCAAUCAUGGGAAAGAAUGGUUUUGGGAAGGCCAUCUUGCGGAUGAUUAGUAUUCUUUCAUUUUGACAUUGAUCACUUAUUGGUGGCUGGUUCUUUGUAAGAUUUUCUUGCAGUCUAAUACAUUUGAUUGUUAUUUUCAGGUUUUGUAGUUUGAGAAGAUUUCUCACAGGUGACAUGCUUGUGGAGCUUAAGGAGAUUGUGGGAAAUAGGGGAGGAAAGUAGAAGACAAUUUGGAGGUUUCCCCUAAUCAGGAGGUCUUUGGUGAGGGGUACCUUGGUGGAAUUAUGAACAAGAGUUUGAGAUAAGGACUGUAUAAUUCUGCUCAACUUGCAUCUGGUUUAAAGGCUUGCAUGUGCUAUUGUCUGAUGCAUCCUUAAGACGAGAAACAUCAAUGUGAGUCCUUAGAAAUUUGUAUCUUUUUGUGUUAGUUAAAUAUCACAUCUCAUAAGAUUCAGCUAUUUAUCUUUGACAGAAAACAAUUAUGUCUUUUUGUGUUAAGACUUAUAAUUAGUCUUGGGUAGUAGAUGCUGAAUAAAAAAAACACUCCUGAGCUUACCAAACAAAAUGGUCUGCUUCUCUUUGUUAUGACAAGUUUGGAUGAGAUGUCUGAUCUGGGCAGUUGAUAAUUGAGAUUCUGACAUGCUAUAUACUGAUGAUAGUUGGAUAUAUAUCUAUAUCUAUGAUAGCCUUGUAUGUGAUGCUAGAAAUAUAACUAUAGUAACCUUGUAUGUGAUGCUACGCUGCCUGUCUCUUGCUUUCCACUUAUAUCUAUAUAGUGCCCUUGAAUGUGAUCUACACUGCCCCUCUCUCUCUAUGUAUAUCCAUAUUGGGUUUGGAAACAGGAGUCGGUCAUGCGCAUCUUAAAGGUUUAGCCGGAAAAUUCUAUUUUUGCACUAGACAAUUGUGGCUACAGUUCGGCAAGCAAAUUUUCACCAGAAAUUGAUCUACACAAUGACGUGCAUGUCACGUCUUUUAUCAACUCACCCACAGUCUCCUUUCCUCUCCCUCCACCACAUUGACACCAUAAACCCAAUCUUCCCCACCAUGAACUGUUCAGAAUCAAUAAACCACUUCAUGAAGGCUGCAAAAGUGGACCAAUCACGUCUUCUUCAACAAACCAUUUGCUACCACAGGCCAAGCAAUUGGUCUUUCUCCAUGUCAUGGGGUUACUCGGCUUAUAUAUAUCAAAACAUACUCCCUCGGAGCAGUUUGUGGAGACCACUCGAGACAUUUAGGCCACGUUAGGCCACCAUUAUACAUGUUCAACACCAUGUGGCCCUCCAACAAUCCCUGUGAAGCUCCUCAUGCUUUUUUUCUUGAUUCUAUUGAAUAUUAUACUCAACAGAACCAGAUUGUUACAACCUAUAUAAGAAGAUCAGUGCAUGGUUUGCCGGCUUGUUCAUUCACUGGUAAUCAUUCUGCAGAUGCCAUCACCAAAAUUCAGUUCACUUCAAUAACUUAGGAAAUCUUGUCUUCUACUUUGAUAAGAUCGGAGGAAGAGACUGCUGUGACAUUCUAUACACGACUAGCAAAAAUGUUACAGAAGUGAAAUAUAGGCCUUGUGGGAAGGAUGAAGUAAUUGCCUGACUUCAACAUCAAAUUACAGAACGUCUUGUAUUUUUUAUUUUUUUUAGUUUUUUUCAUUCAUUCAUUUUCUUUCUUUUUUGAGCUCCUUAACAAUUGAUUGUAUUAUUAAUAAUAUAUAAGGGUGUAUGUGGUUUUGUGA
This is a long non-coding RNA of Carya illinoinensis, 2047 nucleotides long. RefSeq lists it as uncharacterized. The record is from RefSeq and is a predicted model, not a curated record. NCBI's taxonomy places the organism in Eukaryota, Viridiplantae, Streptophyta, Magnoliopsida, Fagales, Juglandaceae. The transcript has 6 exons.